Long non-coding RNA from Gavialis gangeticus (Gharial), 124 nucleotides. RefSeq lists it as uncharacterized. The record is from RefSeq and is a predicted model, not a curated record. NCBI's taxonomy places the organism in Eukaryota, Metazoa, Chordata, Crocodylia, Gavialidae. The transcript is spliced from 4 exons.
GGCUUUCCCCACCUGGUUAUUCAAGGGGCAGGAGUGUUGUCAGACCCCAGGCCCAGACUGGCACUCUGAGGCAAUGGGGAGGGGUGUGCAGUGCAUGCAUCUGUUGAUGAUACUGAGCUUUUCA